ACGAACCCACCCAAAGGGUUCCUGAAUAGGCAGUCUUAAUAGAAGGUCCAGAGGUCCUGCGUGAAGUCCUCCCUGUACAUGAGUUUCUCUUCUCUCUUCCUGUCUGUGAAGGUCCCACAGCUGUGAUGAGAGGCAUGCUGGGAAGAUCUCACUUCCCUCCUUCUGAGCAUCAGAGGAUCUUUCUCCCGGGACCUAGAUAGAAGACUUAAAUGAUAUUGACGUUAAUCUUUGCAUGAUUAAAAGGAAUUAAAUUAAAAUGAAUAAUUCAUGGAUAAA
This 276-nucleotide long non-coding RNA is filed under the name Rattus norvegicus (Norway rat). Its description in RNAcentral is "long non-coding RNA NONRATT002173". Lineage: Eukaryota; Metazoa; Chordata; Mammalia; Rodentia; Muridae. The record is from RNAcentral.